This is a non-coding RNA of Cinara cedri, 273 nucleotides long. NCBI's taxonomy places the organism in Eukaryota, Metazoa, Arthropoda, Insecta, Hemiptera, Aphididae. The record is from the annotation of a GenBank genome assembly.
AUAUUUUAUCAAUGCUUAACAAGUUUUUUCGGAUUUAUUUAAUCGAAUACUUAUAGAGCUGUGAUUAUAGUAGUAAAUUUCCCUUAUGGUUGCGAGGUUUGAACGACAACAUAUAAAUAGACAGAUGUUAGGGAGAAUAGGGAGAAGUUUGAGAACAUUCGAGAAUAAAGUAUGAAGGAAAAUCUGUGAGCCAGCCAUCGAUGAAGGUAUGAGGAACUGCAUAGGCGUGUCUACGGUGGUAGCCUAGGGUGACUGGGCUGUCCCUGCAAUUUU